RNAcentral lists this unclassified non-coding RNA (223 nucleotides) under Hevea brasiliensis (rubber tree). The record is from RNAcentral. Lineage: Eukaryota; Viridiplantae; Streptophyta; Magnoliopsida; Malpighiales; Euphorbiaceae.
AUUAAAAUCAUAUAAAUUUAGGUUAGCUUCGUAACUUAAAAUAUGAUUUAACAUGAUAGAAAUCUUUAGGUAUACUUAACUUAGAAAUAAUACAUGUUUAGAUUCACUACAAACAUAAUUGACUUAAAUAAUGUAAACUUAAUAAAAGAUAACAUGCAUGUUAAAAUUAGGUUAUAAUUAUUUUUAAUUGUAAUAUUUGUGAAAAUAGAUUUGUACAUAAUUA